UUUUCCCCAUUCCCAUGGAAUUUUCCUUGGAUUUUUCCCAUUCCCACGGAUUUUUCCCAAAUUCCCGUGGAUUUUUCCUGAAUUCCCGUGGAUUUUCCCCAUUUUAUUGGAUUUUUCCCGAAUUCCCGUGGAUUUUCCCCGUUUUGGGCCUCCCCCGGCUCAGACCGAUCCCGUUGGAAUUCGGGAUCCGGGGAAGGUUCCAGAAGGAAUUCGGGGAUCCCUGGGAAAUCCCAGCCUGGGAAUUGGCCCAGUUCGUCCCAGUCACUCCCAGUCUGUCCCAGUCCAUCCCAGUUCCAUCCCAGUUUGUCCCAGUUCAUCCCAGUUUAUCCCAGUCCCAUCCCAGUCUGUCCCAGUUUAUCCCAGUCCAUCCCAGUCUGUCCCAGUCCAUCCCAGUCUGUCCCAGUCCAUUCCAGUUUGUCCCAGUCCAUCCCAGUCUGUCCCAGUCCAUCCCAGUCCCUCCCAGUUCCAUCCCAGUCCCUCCCAGUCCAUUCCAGUUCCAUCCCAGUCCAUCCCAGUUCCAUCCCAGUCCCUCCCAGUCCAUCCCAGUCCAUCCCAGUCCAUCCCAGUCCAUCCCAGUUCCAUCCCAGUCCCUCCCAGUUCCCGGCGGUGCCCGCGGGGAUUUUGCACAAGAAAAGCGGCGGCGGCGGAGGGGGAGGGGCUGGAAAUGGGGAAAUUUGGGAAAUUUGGGAUGGGGGAGGGACUGGGAUGGACUGGGAUGGACUGGGAUGGACUGGGAUAAACUGGGAUGGACUGGGAUGGACUGGGAGCGAACUGGGAUGGGACUGGGAUGGACUGGGAUGGAACUGGGACGGAACUGGGA
Molecule: long non-coding RNA, 820 nt
Filed under: Parus major (Great Tit)
Lineage: Eukaryota; Metazoa; Chordata; Aves; Passeriformes; Paridae
Description: lncRNA (ENSPMJG00000004222.1)
Source: RNAcentral